AGCUGUCUAUGAUGACUUUUGUUUUCAAAACAAUGGGAAUCUCUCUGAAAAAGAGUGAAGACAACUUUUUUCUGAUGCAGUA
Small nucleolar RNA from Salarias fasciatus (jewelled blenny), 82 nucleotides. Its record names the gene SNORD79. It matches the Rfam family "Small nucleolar RNA SNORD79". Rfam says of the family: snoRNA U79 or Z22 is found in intron 7 of the gas5 gene in humans and is also present in mice. U79 is a member of the C/D class of snoRNA which contain C (UGAUGA) and D (CUGA) box motifs. Most of the members of the C/D box family function in directing site-specific 2'-O-methylation of substrate RNAs. Lineage: Eukaryota; Metazoa; Chordata; Actinopteri; Blenniiformes; Blenniidae. The record is from Ensembl.